GUUCGCCAAUUAAAGCGGUACGUGAGCUGGGUUCAGAACGUCGCGAGACAGUUCGGUCCCUAUCUGUUGCGGGCGUUGGACGCCUGAGUGGGGCUGCCUUUAGUACGAGAGGACCGAGGCGGACAGACCUCUGGCGUGCCGGUUAUCCUGCCAAGGGUAGGCGCCGGGUAGCUAAGUCUGGAAGGGAUAACCGCUGAAAGCAUCUAAGCGGGAAGCCCGCCACAAGACUAGGCGUCCCUGGGGACGUGAUCCCCCUGAAGGCCCCCGGGAGAAUACCGGGUCGAUAGGCCGCAGGUGCAGGCGCGGCGACGCGCACAGCCGAGCGGUACUAAUAGGCCGUGAGGCUUGGCCAUAUUACC
RNAcentral lists this ribosomal RNA (359 nucleotides) under Treponema sp. Its description in RNAcentral is "bacterial LSU rRNA". It matches the Rfam family "Bacterial large subunit ribosomal RNA", at positions 2579 to 2925 of the family's 2925-position model. The record is from RNAcentral. Lineage: Bacteria; Pseudomonadati; Spirochaetota; Spirochaetia; Treponematales; Treponemataceae.